Molecule: long non-coding RNA, 240 nt
Organism: Alosa sapidissima (American shad)
Lineage: Eukaryota; Metazoa; Chordata; Actinopteri; Clupeiformes; Clupeidae
Exons: 3
Source: RefSeq, a predicted model, not a curated record
UUGUUCACCAUUCUAAGCACGAGACCCUACCCUACAGACUUAGGAACUAACGUUCGUUAUAUUCUUUCCAGUCUGUUAUGUACAUUUUCGGGUGUUUUACAACUUGUCCACGGCUAGCGAAGAUCCUGACUUUUGUCUGUAUUGUUGUCAGGGGCAACAAAUAAACGGUUGCAGAGAUAGCCAACUACUGUACAACAGUACAGUUUUAUUUCACCAAAAACACAACGCAGAGAGUUUACC